This is a long non-coding RNA of Corticium candelabrum, 1393 nucleotides long. RefSeq lists it as uncharacterized. The record is from RefSeq and is a predicted model, not a curated record. Lineage: Eukaryota; Metazoa; Porifera; Homoscleromorpha; Homosclerophorida; Plakinidae. The transcript is spliced from 2 exons.
AUAUUAACCAAUGAUUGUGUCAUUGAUAUUAUAUAAAUUUUACACAUUUGAUAACGCGCGCUACACAAUUUGUGUCUAUUGAUAUCAGUGCGGCCGAGAAUGGCGGACUGAUAUCAAUCCGCCGCUACCGGCUUCCGUACAACUCUCUUUGGGUGCGUUCGAAUACUAGUUCCAGUUCUAGAACUGGAACUGCCAGAACUGUUGGAACUCUUGCUAGCAAUCGAACGCUUAGAACUGUCAGCAAGUUGAGCAUGCGCAACGGCUUAUACUUCCGGUUAGCGUCAAUUCGAAGUAGCAUGACGUUUCGACUCCAUUUGUUGUAGUCUGUUCGAACAUCAGCAGUGCUUUCGCUUUCGGUUUUUUGGAGCUGCUCACGCCAAGAAGGUCACUGUAAUCAGUCCCAAAUGUCGUUCUUCUGGUGUUCUGCAAGCCAGUGGUCGCCACAAGUGUUCAUUAUAACAAACAAGAAGGUCCACAACGGCCUCAGCAUCUGUACCCGUCAUUUCACUUCGUCAACCUCCGGGAAUUUUGCAUUUAGGGCGUGACAGUUUCAACAAUUCCAGCUCGCUAGGCAGAACUGCUAGAACUGUUCUGACAGUUCUAGAACUGUCAGAACUACCAAUCGAACGCUAUAGAACUACCAAUCGAACGCUAUAGAACUUUACUCCCCCCUACAAUUCCAGUUCUAGAACUAGUAUUCGAACGCACCCUUUAUAAACGGCUCUGAGUACACACUAGGCUCGAGAGUCCAGCCGCUCAUCUCCCACGCGCAAAUUUUUUUUGGGCCACUUCACAGACACAUCCCGGAUAUAUAGCCCGGAAAAGUUUAACUUACACGUGCAUGGUAGACCAUUCUCAUGUGCACGCAUGUUGAUUUAGUAGUUCGAAAUGUGUUGUUAUGCUGACAGAUCGUGGGAAUUGCGCUUUCUCUGCGAGCAGUUACCACACUCAGUAAACAGCAGUGGCUAGUGAAAGGAGAGCCCCAAUAUGGGGAAUGUUGGUUGCUACAAACCGUUUUCUUUGCAGAAAUCGACUUUCUCGAGAAACAUUUGACUCCAGAAAAGCUUUUCGUGAUGCAACUAUUAUACAAGACGGCAGAGGAUGUGUGAAGAAUAUUGGAAGGUGGAUCAGGGAAUGACAUGUCAAAGUACUCUCUAGCAAAAUCUAGCUACUGCUGUGACAUUUCUUACCAGAUUUAUGACGUUUGUUUACCAGUUUACAAUGCUGUAUACGCAUAACUCAAUCUUAACCAGUUAUAGUCAUUACCAGUUGGACAUAACAGUGUACGCUCUAGAUGUUGAAGAAAGACUCAAAGUAACAUGAUAAUGUUUUGUGCUUGUAUAUACGUAGUUCUAUUUGUGGUCAAUUUGAGCAUGGUAUAAGAUACUGUGAA